UCGCUUUCGAAAGGCGUUGCGCUCUUCGUCAUAGAGUUUUUGUAACUCUGAAGGGCGUGUCACCGAAAGCGUAUAAUCAAAAAUCUUCAAUACGAUUCUUUAGGAUUUUGCGAAAUUCGGAUUCGUUCGAAUUAGUAAAAACCUAAGAACCGAUGGCUUCUUUUCGUCUCCAUCGAUUAAUCGUAUUGAGAAAUUUCGAAUCUAAAGUUAGAUCUAGUUUUUGUGCGAAAUUGAUGGAUUUAGAAUUGGGAAAUUGCUUCAUAAUGGUGAACUCUCUUAGAUUAUAAAAAGUGAGAGAUGUUCAAGUUUCCGGAGCAAAUAUUAAACUGGCCAGAAUUUAACAGCUCUGUGUUUAAAUUUUACUAUUUUCACAGUGUUACCUGUCUUCUGGUAUAUUUCAUUAAAUUUCAUCACCCAAUUUUUUUGUUUUACCUGUUCUCUCACCAACACAAAUCUUUGUUUGAUUCGUCUUUUUGUUUCGUUAUUGAUUCCAAUUAUAAGUUGAAGA
RNAcentral lists this small RNA (508 nucleotides) under Arabidopsis thaliana (thale cress). RNAcentral describes it as "putative long intergenic non-coding RNA". The stretch from base 253 to 398 matches the Rfam family "small nucleolar RNA snoR137". Lineage: Eukaryota; Viridiplantae; Streptophyta; Magnoliopsida; Brassicales; Brassicaceae. The record is from RNAcentral.